GUGCUGAGGCCGCCGGGACUGUAGCUUGCGACCCGCGCUCUCCACUGCGGGUCCCGUGGUGUGGGUAACUUAGGGCUACCUGUGGCGUGUUCGUUUGUCCCAGUGAGAAGCCUUUUCCAUGACAGUGGCCCGUGCACCCUCGUUUUGCCAGCUCUCGGGCGCGCAUUAAACCCGUUCACACUCAGCUUUGACCCUUGAUGAAAUGGAGGCAGGAGCAGCCCAAAGUGGCUCUUUGAUGUAGGAGCGCCACGUCGGAGGCUACUGCCUCGCCAGAAAGGGAUGGAGAGGCAAGGAUUUUAGGUGACUCGCCCUUUCUUAACUCCCUGGAUUCUAAAACUGUGCCAGUCUAUUUCUACCCUGAGAAUGGAACAGUGCAUGAAAUCAAACCAAGGACUGAGAAAAAGGGUUAAAAAAAAACCCACCAGUUUUUAUAUAACUCCAUUGUCUUUACAGUACAGGAUGGUUGGAUAUUCUCUGUGAUCAAAAUGUACAUUAUGCUAACUUUAGGAAAGAAGUGUCCAGUCCAUGAAUUUGAUAAAAAACACUGGAGGCUCAGUAUCACUAAAAACAUAUUUGGUUGCACAAGUUUAUUUGGAGCACAAAUUCAGCUACCGAGAUGAACUGUAGAGAAGAUCUGUGUUUAUUCCCAUUUGCAAGAAAGAGUAGACUGGAGAAGAGUACAGCAGACUAACCAAGGGUGUGGGUGUAGGAAUCAGAGUACUUGGGUAAUCCUGGCUUUGCCAUUUACUAGUUGUGUGACCCAGAGCAACUCACUUUCAUGCUUGUUUCCUCAGUUUCCCAUCUGCAGAAUGAAGAUAAUAAUGGAGUGAAUUAAGAAUUAAAAGGGUUAAUUAUAUAAUGUGCUGCUAUUCAUUUUUAUUGGAUAAUCUAGAAAACAGACUAGUUUAAAAGUGGAUAGUAGAGUUGGUUUCCUAAAAGGAGCUAAGGUGAAUAUGGUGAGGGGUGAAUGUACUUCAAAUGUAUGGUUAGUUAAUAUUCAUUGCAGUCUUACAUGUAGUGACUUAACUGUAUUCUUGGCUCUGAUUCAGUGUGAAAAUUUAAGAAGGGAUGUUCAAUGUGACAUCGUGAUCUAGGAUGCCUGUGGCCUGCAGGCUAUAGGCUGGACAUACUUGAAGAAUCCAUCAGGCAACUAAAGUCUUCAUUUUGAACCUGGAGCUACAAGACAAGAUGCAUAUUGCCACAUCCCACUCUCUAUGAACCAUAAAGGGAUUUGUUCCUAAAGACAUCUCAGCAGAGAGAUAGCAAUGAAAGUUGGGAAAGAGGGUGAAUAAUGAUUAAGACUGCUCACUGAACAACACAAUGCAAUUCACUGUGGAAUGGAGCUCUUCAACUGCCAAUUGUCAUAUUUCCUUUUUUUCUUCAUAUCACCCCAAGAGGUUUCUUUUGUCCUGGAGAGCUCAGCUCUGGCUUUCUGCUUAGGUUGCUCCACUAAACAAAAGCCUGAAAGGUAGACUUAGUACCUCAUUUCUAGUAUGCCCCUAUGUGUAGUUAUCAAGGUAUUUAUUCAACAUUAACUAAUCUGUUUCUGUCUCUUUUUAUAUGCCUUGGAGUUUUGUUUGCAUGUCUGUCUGUCUGUGUGAGGGUGUUAAGAUCUUGGAGUUACAGACAGUUGUGAGCUGCCAUGUGGGUGCUGGGAAUUGAGCCCCUGAGUCAUCUCUCCAGUUCAACUAAUCUGUAUCUUAGAAAAAUUCAUCUUCUGAGAACAUUUUCUUCACUUAUAUUUAAAGCGGGCAGUUGGUAGUGAACAGAUUCCAUCUUAGAGCUUUCUAGGACCUGGCACAUUAGUUCGAGAAAUUAGGAACAUAGGGGAAAAGGAGUGGGGACUUUGUAUACACUGAGAUAGACUCAGCAUGAUACCCUGUCAAAAUUUUGUUAUUGCUCACAGGCUUCAAAAAAAACUAAAAAGGAGAAAGCCCUCAUGAGAUUUCAUAAAAUACUAAGUAUGAAAAUGUAAAAAUAGACUGGUAUCUCUAAUCUUUUACAUAGUUGACAUUCACUUAGCCUUGACAACAAAGCCACCAAUACUAACACUGUUAUUUAUUUGGAAUUUUUCUUUUGUCUUUUUUAUUAUUUUUACUUAAGGAUUGUUUUGUGUUCAUACAGAGUUCUACUAUGUAGCCCUGACUGGCAGGGAACUUUUAGUGAUCUACCUUCCUCUGCCUCCUGAGUGCUGGGACUAAGGUGGGCACAUAAGUCUUGGUUUUUGAUAGACUAUAACAGACUCUCAUGAAGUAGAGACUGACCUCAAACUCAUUGUGUAAUCUAGAAAGGUCUUAAAUUCUUGAUUCUCCUGCCUCAACCUCCCAAGUGUUUUUGUGUGUGGAACCCAGGGCCUCUCACAUGCUGAGCAUGCAUAUUUCCACCCUUCUACUGACUCAUAUACCUGACCUGGAAUGUCUCUCUCUCCUUCCUCACCCCGCCCUUCUGUCUCUCUAAAACAGUCAUCAUCACUUAAACUUUGUGGAUAUCUGUAUAACUCAAACUCACUACAAUUUUUACUAUAUCUGCAAAUUUAAAUCAAGAACUUAACUCCAUAUUUUAACUACUAAAAUAUUUUCUAAGAGGGAUUAUGUUGAAGGUAACUAACAGCACGGAAGUAGCUUCAUGCUAGUUUGCCUAAGUCUAGAAGAAAAAUGGGGAGUUCAGGCCAGCAAGAUCAACUUAGUGGGUAAAUGUAUUUGCUACCAAGCCUGACAGCCUAUGUUUGAUCCUUGAGAUGUGUAUUAUGGAAGAGAGAAACCCCAAAAGUUGUCCUCUGACCUGCACACAUGCAUACUCUCAUAGACACGUUUGGAAUAUGGUAACAUUUUCAAAAAGAGAGAAAAUGGAAUGUGUUUAUCACUUCUGUGGUUUCUGAAAGGGCUUUUUUGCUCUUACCUGCUGCUAUGUGUUUUGCAUUCUAAGUAUGAAGACAGCCAAAGAGUUUCCUCAACCAGGAAGUUCUUAUCUGGGAUUCUGACUCAUUCCUCACCCUCUGGAUUCGGAACAGAGCCUGGGAGGCGAUGAUGCGCAGAGAGGGCUCAGGAUCUUGUAACAGUUCUCUCAGAUCUACAUGGAAGAAACCGAGACUGGACUUUCUAGAAAGGAGCACUGCUCUAGAUACCAAGUAGCCAACAAACCAGAGCAGCUGGGAUUAAAAAGGCAGCUUUUUCCAAAGCUGUCUCAGAGUCUGUACAUUGAUGAACUAAUUCCAACUUUGACAUGUAAAACCCACUCUUCUGAAUUGCUUAGUAUUUCAUUCCUUUGCAAUAGUCUACCUAAAAUAAAAUUAUUUGGGCAUUCCAAGCUAUGUCUAAUGUUAACCUCGUAACUUCUUUGAUCACAGUAAAUCUGUUUCUCGGCCCAAAGCACUUCCCAAAACUCAGGCGCCUUCCCACACACAGAUAGCCUGGUGCCAUAGAGAUAACACAUCACUUAACAAAGCUUCCUUAACACCUGCACUCCCUGGUGAAAUCUCCUGCUCAUUGCUUAUCAAACGUUUCCUGCUUCUGACAGCCCCUGUCUCAUUCCUCAGUGUCUCCUGUCUACAACCCCCCCACAUUCCUCUGCCACAUGCAAUGCCAUGUUCCCCUAUGUAAGCUCCUACGAAAUUCUCAAUAAACAGAGCUUGAUCAGCC
Long non-coding RNA from Mesocricetus auratus (golden hamster), 3638 nucleotides. RefSeq lists it as uncharacterized. The transcript has 2 exons. Lineage: Eukaryota; Metazoa; Chordata; Mammalia; Rodentia; Cricetidae. The record is from RefSeq and is a predicted model, not a curated record.